RNAcentral lists this ribosomal RNA (254 nucleotides) under uncultured bacterium. RNAcentral describes it as "partial 16S ribosomal RNA". It matches the Rfam family "Bacterial small subunit ribosomal RNA", at positions 524 to 776 of the family's 1533-position model. The record is from RNAcentral.
UACGGAGGGUGCGAGCGUUGUCCGGAAUCACUGGGCGUAAAGGGCGCGUAGGCGGCCUGAUAAGUAGGGGGUGAAAUCCUGCGGCUUAACCGCAGGGCUGCCUUCUAAACUGUCAGGCUUGAGCACAGUAGAGGCAGGUGGAAUUCCCGGUGUAGCGGUGGAAUGCGUAGAGAUCGGGAAGAACAUCAGUGGCGAAGGCGGCCUGCUGGGCUGUUGCUGACGCUGAGGCGCGACAGCGGUGGGGAGCAAACAGG